RNAcentral lists this ribosomal RNA (253 nucleotides) under uncultured bacterium. Its description in RNAcentral is "partial 16S ribosomal RNA". It matches the Rfam family "Bacterial small subunit ribosomal RNA", at positions 524 to 776 of the family's 1533-position model. The record is from RNAcentral.
UACGAAGGGUGCAAACGUUGCUCGGAAUUAUUGGGCGUAAAGCGCACGUAGGCGGCUUUGCAAGUCCCAUGUGAAAUCCCACGGCUCAACCGUGGAAGUGCAUGGGAAACUGCAGAGCUUGAGUACUUAAGAGGAUCGCGGAAUUCCCGGUGUAGAGGUGAAAUUCGUAGAUAUCGGGAGGAACACCAGUGGCGAAAGCGGCGUUCUGGACUGUUUCUGACACUGAAAAACGAAAGCCAGGGGAGCAAACGGG